CACGUAGGGUGCGAGCGUUGUCCGGAAUUAUUGGGCGUAAAGAGCUCGUAGGCGGUGUGUCGCGUCGGCCGUGAAAACCUGCAGCUUAACUGUGGGCUUGCGGUCGAUACGGGCAUCACUGGAGUUCGGCAGGGGAGACUGGAAUUCCUGGUGUAGCGGUGAAAUGCGUAGAGAUGCGGAGGAACACCGAUGGCGAAGGCAGCCCCCUGGGCCGACAUUGACGCUCAGGCACGAAAGCGUGGGGAGCAAACAGG
This 254-nucleotide ribosomal RNA is filed under the name uncultured bacterium. RNAcentral describes it as "partial 16S ribosomal RNA". It matches the Rfam family "Bacterial small subunit ribosomal RNA", at positions 524 to 776 of the family's 1533-position model. The record is from RNAcentral.